AGCACACUGGUUAGUGCAGUCUGCCGGAAACAGAAAGACGCGGGUUCAAUUCCCGU
Molecule: transfer RNA, 56 nt
Filed under: Nippostrongylus brasiliensis
Lineage: Eukaryota; Metazoa; Nematoda; Chromadorea; Rhabditida; Heligmosomidae
Rfam family: tRNA
About the family: Transfer RNA (tRNA) molecules are approximately 80 nucleotides in length. Their secondary structure includes four short double-helical elements and three loops (D, anti-codon, and T loops). Further hydrogen bonds mediate the characteristic L-shaped molecular structure. tRNAs have two regions of fundamental functional importance: the anti-codon, which is responsible for specific mRNA codon recognition, and the 3' end, to which the tRNAs corresponding amino acid is attached (by aminoacyl-tRNA synthetases). tRNAs cope with the degeneracy of the genetic code in two manners: having more than one tRNA (with a specific anti-codon) for a particular amino acid; and 'wobble' base-pairing, i.e. permitting non-standard base-pairing at the 3rd anti-codon position.
Source: Rfam by way of RNAcentral